RNAcentral lists this ribosomal RNA (253 nucleotides) under uncultured bacterium. RNAcentral describes it as "partial 16S ribosomal RNA". It matches the Rfam family "Bacterial small subunit ribosomal RNA", at positions 524 to 776 of the family's 1533-position model. The record is from RNAcentral.
UACGGGGGGGGCAAGCGUUGUUCGGAAUUACUGGGCGUAAAGGGCGCGUAGGCGGUCUAUUAAGUUGGAUGUGAAAACUCUGGGCUUAACCCAGAGCCUGCAUUCAAAACUGAUAGGCUGGAGUUCUGGAGGGGAUAGCGGAAUUCCUGGUGUAGCGGUGAAAUGCGUAGAUAUCAGGAGGAACACCGGUGGCGAAGGCGGCUAUCUGGACAGAAACUGACGCUGAGGCGCGAAAGCUAGGGGAGCAAACAGG